This 406-nucleotide ribosomal RNA is filed under the name uncultured bacterium. Its description in RNAcentral is "partial 16S ribosomal RNA". It matches the Rfam family "Bacterial small subunit ribosomal RNA", at positions 30 to 526 of the family's 1533-position model. The record is from RNAcentral.
AUUGAACGCUGGCGGCAGGCCUAACACAUGCAAGUCGAACGAGUGGCGGACGGGUGAGUAAUGUCUGGGAAACUGCCUGAUGGAGGGGGAUAACUACUGGAAACGGUAGCUAAUACCGCAUACCAUCGGAUGUACCCAGAUGGGAGUAGCUAGUAGGUGGGGUAAAGGCUCACCUAGGCGACGAUCCCUAGCUGGUCUGAGAGGAUGACCAGCCACACUGGACCGGAGACACGGUCCGGACUCCUACGGGAGGCAGCAGUGGGGAAUAUUGCACAAUGGGCGCAAGCCUGAUGCAGCCAUGCCGCGUGUAUGAAGAAGGCCUUCGGGUUGUAAAGUACUUUCAGUGGGGAGGCGUUACCGGCAGAAGAAGCACCGGCUAACUCCGUGCCAGCAGCCGCGGUAAUUC